RNAcentral lists this transfer RNA (97 nucleotides) under Microcaldota archaeon. Its description in RNAcentral is "Candidatus Micrarchaeota archaeon (hot springs metagenome) tRNA-Lys". It matches the Rfam family "tRNA". Rfam says of the family: Transfer RNA (tRNA) molecules are approximately 80 nucleotides in length. Lineage: Archaea; Nanobdellati; Microcaldota. The record is from RNAcentral.
GGGCCCGUAACUCAGCUUGGCCUAGAGUGCCUGGCUUUUAACCAGAUAACUUUUCGGUUAGGUUAAGAAGUCGUGGGUUCAAAUCCCACCGGGCCCG